ACGUCUUCUUCAAGCGUUAUCCGGAGUUACUGGGAGUAAAGGGCGUGCAGGCGGUUGGCUAAGUUCGUUGUGAAAGCGACCAGGCUUAAACGGGCGAGGACAAUGAAGACUGGUCAUCUAGAGGACGGUAGAGGGGUGUGGAAUUCCGGGUGUAGUGGUGAAAUGCGUAGAGAUCCGGAGGAACACCAGAGGCGAAGGCGACACCCUGGGCCGUACCUGACGCUAAGACGCGACAGCACGGGGAGCGAACGG
This 252-nucleotide ribosomal RNA is filed under the name uncultured prokaryote. Its description in RNAcentral is "partial 16S ribosomal RNA". It matches the Rfam family "Bacterial small subunit ribosomal RNA", at positions 525 to 775 of the family's 1533-position model. The record is from RNAcentral.